UAGGGAAUCUUCGGCAAUGGGGGCAACCCUGACCGAGCAACGCCGCGUGAGUGAAGAAGGUUUUCGGAUCGUAAAGCUCUGUUGUAAGAGAAGAACGUGUGUGAGAGUGGAAAGUUCACACAGUGACGGUAACUUACCAGAAAGGGACGGCUAACUACGUGCCAGCAGCCGCGGUAAUACGUAGGUCCCGAGCGUUGUCCGGAUUUAUUGGGCGUAAAGCGAGCGCAGGCGGUUUAAUAAGUCUGAAGUUAAAGGCAGUGGCUUAACCAUUGUUCGCUUUGGAAACUGUUGAACUUGAGUGCAGAAGGGGAGAGUGGAAUUCCAUGUGUAGCGGUGAAAUGCGUAGAGAUAUGGAGGAAAACCGGUGGCGAAAGCGGCUCUCUGGUCUGUAACUGACGCUGAGGCUCGAAAGCGUGGGGAGCAAACAGG
This 429-nucleotide ribosomal RNA is filed under the name bacterium. Its description in RNAcentral is "partial 16S ribosomal RNA". It matches the Rfam family "Bacterial small subunit ribosomal RNA", at positions 355 to 776 of the family's 1533-position model. The record is from RNAcentral.